GCCGGGAUGGCUGAGUGGACAAAAGCGCGGGCCUUGAGAGCCCGUGGGCCCCUGAGGCCCUCGAGGGUUCGAAUCCCUCUCCCGGCGCCA
Molecule: transfer RNA, 90 nt
Filed under: Candidatus Bathyarchaeota archaeon
Lineage: Archaea; Thermoproteati; Candidatus Bathyarchaeota
Description: tRNA-Ser
Rfam family: tRNA
About the family: Transfer RNA (tRNA) molecules are approximately 80 nucleotides in length. Their secondary structure includes four short double-helical elements and three loops (D, anti-codon, and T loops).
Source: RNAcentral